AUCCGGGUUGCGGACAGUGUCUGGUGGGUAGUUUGACUGGGGCGGUCUCCUCCUAAAGAGUAACGGAGGAGCACGAAGGUUGGCUAAUCCUGGUCGGACAUCAGGAGGUUAGUGCAAUGGCAUAAGCCAGCUUGACUGCGAGCGUGACGGCGCGAGCAGGUGCGAAAGCAGGUCAUAGUGAUCCGGUGGUUCUGAAUGGAAGGGCCAUCGCUCAACGGAUAAAAGGUACUCCGGGGAUAACAGGCUGAUACCGCCCAAGAGUUCAUAUCGACGGCGGUGUUUGGCACCUCGAUGUCGGCUCAUCACAUCCUGGGGCUGAAGUAGGUCCCAAGGGUAUGGCUGUUCGCCAUUUAAAGUGGUACGCGAGCUGGGUUUAGAACGUCGUGAGACAGUUCGGUCCCUAUCUGCCGUGGGCGCUGGAGAACUGAGGGGGGCUGCUCCUAGUACGAGAGGACCGGAGUGGACGCAUCACUGGUGUUCGGGUUGUCAUGCCAAUGGCACUGCCCGGUAGCUAAAUGCGGAAGAGAUAAGUGCUGAAAGCAUCUAAGCACGAAACUUGCCCCGAGAUGAGUUCUCCCUGAGAC
This 584-nucleotide ribosomal RNA is filed under the name Salmonella enterica. RNAcentral's name for it is "partial 23S ribosomal RNA". It matches the Rfam family "Bacterial large subunit ribosomal RNA", at positions 2238 to 2821 of the family's 2925-position model. Lineage: Bacteria; Pseudomonadati; Pseudomonadota; Gammaproteobacteria; Enterobacterales; Enterobacteriaceae. The record is from RNAcentral.